UACGAAGGGGGCUAGCGUUAAUCGGAAUUACUGGGCGUAAAGCGUGCGCAGGCGGUUUUGUAAGCCAGAUGUGAAAUCCCCGGGCUUAACCUGGGAAUGGCAUUUGGGACUGCAAGGCUGGAGUGUGGCAGAGGAGACUGGAAUUCCCGGUGUAGCAGUGAAAUGCGUAGAUAUCGGGAGGAAUACCGAUGGCGAAGGCAGGUCUCUGGGCUGACACUGACGCUCAUGCACGAAAGCGUGGGGAGCAAACAGG
This 253-nucleotide ribosomal RNA is filed under the name uncultured bacterium. Its description in RNAcentral is "partial 16S ribosomal RNA". It matches the Rfam family "Bacterial small subunit ribosomal RNA", at positions 524 to 776 of the family's 1533-position model. The record is from RNAcentral.